GCUACUGUAGCUCUGUUGGUAGAGCAUGAGACUCAUAAUCUCAGGAUAGUGGUU
This 54-nucleotide transfer RNA is filed under the name Lepisosteus oculatus (spotted gar). It matches the Rfam family "tRNA", at positions 1 to 53 of the family's 71-position model. From Rfam's summary of the family: Transfer RNA (tRNA) molecules are approximately 80 nucleotides in length. Their secondary structure includes four short double-helical elements and three loops (D, anti-codon, and T loops). Lineage: Eukaryota; Metazoa; Chordata; Actinopteri; Semionotiformes; Lepisosteidae. The record is from Rfam by way of RNAcentral.